RNAcentral lists this ribosomal RNA (1781 nucleotides) under Prodinychus sp. AL7170. RNAcentral describes it as "SSU rRNA". It matches the Rfam family "Eukaryotic small subunit ribosomal RNA". Lineage: Eukaryota; Metazoa; Arthropoda; Arachnida; Mesostigmata; Urodinychidae. The record is from RNAcentral.
UGUCUCAAAGAUUAAGCCAUGCAUGUCUAAGUGCAGCCUUAUUAUAUGGUGAAACCGCGAAUGGCUCAUUAAAUCAGUUAUAAUUUACUAGAAAAUGAUGAUAUACUUGGAUAACUGUGGUAAUUCUAGAGCUAAUACAUGCUUGACAGCGCUGGAAACCCUGGUGCUAGCAUUUGUUAGACAACGUCCACCGGUAUUCCUCUGCGGGGUGUUUACCGGCUUGUCAGAUGGUGAUGACUCUGUACAACUUUGCCGAUCGCUUACGCUCAAGUAGCGGCGAUAGUUCUUUCAAGUGUCUGCUCUAUCAACUGUCGAUGGUAGGUUAUGUGCCUACCAUGGUGAUAACGGGUAACGGAGAAUCAGGGUUCGAUUCCGGAGAGGGAGCCUGAGAAACGGCUACCACAUCCAAGGAAGGCAGCAGGCGCGUAACUUACCCAAUCCCGGAACGGGGAGGUAGUGACGAAAAAUAACAAUACGGGACUCGUAUGAGGCUCCGUAAUUGGAAUGAAUAGACUCUAAAUCCUUUUAUGAGGAUCAAUUGGAGGGNAAGUCUGGUGCCAGCAACCGCGGUAACUCCAGCUCCAAUAGCAUAUAUUAAAAUUGCUGCGGUUAAAAAGCUCGUAGUUGAAGCCUGGUGCUCUGAGGAAUAAACGNUGCAUUUAGUGUGUAGCGUCUCCUGCUGAGUACAUCCGGGACGGCUGUCUGUCGUGUUCUUUAUUGAAUGCUUCGGGUGGCCGUCAAAUUCACUCUGAUAAAAUUAGGGUGCUUAAAGCUGGCUUGUGCCAAGAUAUUAUUGCAUGGAAUGAUGGAAGAGGUUGUUGUUCCGUCUGUGGCCUUGGAAUUGACAUAAUGACCAAUAGAAACUGACGGGGGCAUUUGUACUGCGGCGCUAGAGGUGAAAUUCUUGGACCGUCGCAAGACAAACUAUAGCGAAAGCAUUUGCCAAGAAUGUUUUCAUUGAUCAAGAACGAAAGUUAGAGGUUCGAAAGUGAUCAGAUACCGCUUUAGUUCUAACUAUAAACGAUGCCAACUAGCAAUCCGUAGGCGUUAUUUUUUCGACUCUACGGGCAGCUCCGGAAAACCAAAGUGGGGUUUCGGGGGAAGUAUGGUUGCAAGGCUGAAACUUAAAGGAAUUGACGGAAGGGAACCACAAGACGUGGAGCAUGCGGUUCAAUUAGACUCAACACUGGAGGACCUUACUCGGCCCGGACACCAAAAGGAUUGACAGAUUGAGAGCUCUUUCUUGAUAUGGUGGAUGGUGGUGCAUGGCCGCUCUUAGUUGGUGGAUUGGUCUGUCUGCUUAAUUGCGAUAACGGACGUGACUCGAACCUAUUAACUAGAGGCAAUAUUGAGAAGUCCAUGAUUGCUUAAGCUUCUUAAAGGGAUAACUUGCUUUUAGCAAGAAGAAAGAGAGCAAUAGCAGGUCUGUAAUGCCCCUAGAUGUCCGGGGCCACACGCGCGCUACAAUGAAAUGGUAAGCGUGUCGAAUCCUGGUUUGAAAAAACUGGGUAACCACAUUAACUCGUUUCAUGCUUGGAAUUGAGAUUUGAAAUUGUUUCUCAUGAACGAGGAAUGUCAAGUAAGCUCCAGUCAUUAGCUGGAGUUGAUUACGUCCCUGCCCUUUGUGCACACCGCCCGUCGCUAUUACUGAUUGAAUAGUUUAGUGAGGUUUUCUAAUCGGUUGCUUGUGUCACCUUCGGUGAUACUCGUAGCUGAGACGAUGCCCUAACUAGAUUAUUAAGAAGAAAUAAAAGUCGUAACAAGGUUUCCGUAGGUGACCU